UAGUGGCGAACGGGUGAGUAACACGUGGGCAAUCUGCCCUUCACUCUGGGACAAGCCCUGGAAACGGGGUCUAAUACCGGAUAACACUGCGGAUCGCAUGGUCUGUGGUUAAAAGCUCCGGCGGUGAAGGAUGAGCCCGCGGCCUAUCAGCUUGUUGGUGAGGUAGUGGCUCACCAAGGCGACGACGGGUAGCCGGCCUGAGAGGGCGACCGGCCACACUGGGACUGAGACACGGCCCAGACUCCUACGGGAGGCAGCAGUGGGGAAUAUUGCACAAUGGGCGAAAGCCUGAUGCAGCGACGCCGCGUGAGGGAUGACGGCCUUCGGGUUGUAAACCUCUUUCAGCAGGGAAGAAGCGAAAGUGACGGUACCUGCAGAAGAAGCGCCGGCUAACUACGUGCCAGCAGCCGGGGUAAUACGUAGGGCGCAAGCGUUGUCCGGAAUUAUUGGGCGUAAAGAGCNUCGUAGGCGGCUUGUCACGUCGAUUGUGAAAGCCCCGAGGCUUAACCUCGGGUCUGCAGUCGAUACGGGCUAGCUAGAGUGUGGNAGGGGGAGAUCNGAANUUCCU
This 568-nucleotide ribosomal RNA is filed under the name Streptomyces sp. 387G11. RNAcentral describes it as "bacterial SSU rRNA". It matches the Rfam family "Bacterial small subunit ribosomal RNA", at positions 93 to 672 of the family's 1533-position model. Lineage: Bacteria; Bacillati; Actinomycetota; Actinomycetes; Kitasatosporales; Streptomycetaceae. The record is from RNAcentral.